Molecule: long non-coding RNA, 1242 nt
Filed under: Anas platyrhynchos platyrhynchos (common mallard)
Lineage: Eukaryota; Metazoa; Chordata; Aves; Anseriformes; Anatidae
Description: lncRNA (ENSAPLG00000017246.1)
Source: RNAcentral
CAAGUGAUUAAAUUGGGCAGUGCUACAGUACUUUUGGAAGACCCUUCUGCCCUACUUUCAAUUCCCAUGAUUUCACGCCAAUGACCAUAUUCCAUUUCAAACUUGUUCACUCUUCAAUAUUUUAGUAGUUUGGAGGCGAGGAAAGUUGUUCCUAGAAGAUCAGAUAAUCCACGCUGCCUCUGAUUUUACACCAGCAUAAAUAUGUUUCAUAAAGUUUCUUUUUAAUCAUAUUAGAACUUUUGGAAGGAAAAACAGAGUGUUAAAAUAUUUCAGCUCAGAACAUGGAAAGCCUUUCCUCUGCGGACCUGUCUGGGGUGCAGAAGCAUAUAUAUGGAUGUCACAAGCUCCACUGGCAAUACUGGCAUUCUGUGGGAGAAUAAGGGAAAGGAGAAAUCUAGCUUUCUGAAGAGUAAUGCACGUGGACUUCUCAAUAAGUAAUUUCUGAGGUGGAAUUUCAAAUGUUAUUCAAGCGACAGCUGCUGGGACAGCCUGUGUGUAGCUAGACAAUCACCUGCAGGUCAACUGUAUUUCAACAACGCCUACGCCUGGUUGGAAGCAGAUGCUGUGCAUGGCAUGAGCCAUCACACGGAGGUAAGAUGUGGCGAUCUUCAACUGGGAUGCACUGAAAUCACUGCUGGAUUGGCUGAUGACAGAUGGAAAACAGCAAUGAAAUGGCAGACAUCCAUACUGUUCACCUAUAGAACUGAGAUUUUACAUAUAUUCAUCUAGACCAGAGCCUCCAUGGGAUAAGCAGAGUGAAACUCCAUGGAGCUUAAGGUAGAAAAACCUUUUAAAGAAAACUGUCAGUCUGAUUCUAGAUUCUUGUAUCUCUUCUACAUUUAUUUUUUUUUUAACUCUUGAAACCUUACUUACUCCUAUUGCUUGCUGACAUUACUUACUGUCUCAUUCUUAACCACUUUUUCCCUCUUCUUCCCCAUACUAUUUUGCUGUUGUGGUGCUUGUACCUUGCUAGGCAGCUGAACUCCACCACAACCACUCUCUCACUCCCCCUCCUCAGAUGAGGAGGGGAAGAAGAAAAGGAAAGAAACAACUCAUGGGUUGAGGUAAGGAACAUUUAAUUAAAGGAAAAAAAUAUUAAGGAAAAAUAUUAUUAAUUAAAUAAUUUAACUAAAGGGAAAAAGGCAAAGGGGAAAAGGGAAAACAACAACAAGAGGCUGUGUGUGGAAGUGUGGAGGAAAGAAAUUACUCUCUAAUUCCCACCAACGAGUGAUGCUUGACCAC